RNAcentral lists this ribosomal RNA (465 nucleotides) under uncultured bacterium. Its description in RNAcentral is "partial 16S ribosomal RNA". It matches the Rfam family "Bacterial small subunit ribosomal RNA", at positions 28 to 507 of the family's 1533-position model. The record is from RNAcentral.
GACGAACGCUGGCGGCGUGCUUAACACAUGCAAGUCGAACGGAAAGGCCCUGCUUGCAGGGUACUCGAGUGGCGAACGGGUGAGUAACACGUGGGUGAUCUGCCCUGCACUUCGGGAUAAGCCUGGGAAACUGGGUCUAAUACCGGAUAGGAGCCAUUAUUAGUGUGAUGGUUGGAAAGUUUUUUCGGUGUAGGAUGAGCUCGCGGCCUAUCAGCUUGUUGGUGGGGUAAUGGCCUACCAAGGCGGCGACGGGUAGCCGGCCUGAGAGGGUGGACGGCCACAGUGGGACUGAGAUACGGCCCAGGCUCCUACGGGAGGCAGCAGUGGGGAAGAUUGCACAAUGGGCGCAAGCCUGAUGCAGCGACGCCGCGGGGGGGAUGACGGCCUUCGGGUUGUAAACUCCUUUCGCUAGGGACGAAGCUUUUUGUGACGGUACCUAGAGAAGAAGCACCGGCUAACUACGUG